Molecule: ribosomal RNA, 259 nt
Filed under: uncultured bacterium
Lineage: Bacteria
Description: partial 16S ribosomal RNA
Rfam family: Bacterial small subunit ribosomal RNA
Source: RNAcentral
GAUCCUCGGCUCAGGAUGAACGUUAGCUACAGGCUUAACACAUGCAAGUCGAGGGGCAUCAGGGUGUAGCAAUACACCGCUGGCGACCGGCGCACGGGUGAGUAACACGUAUCCAACCUGCCCUUUACUCGGGGAUAGCCUUUCGAAAGAAAGAUUAAUACCCGAUGGCAUAACAUGACCUCCUGGUUUUGUUAUUAAAGAAUUUCGGUAGAGGAUGGGGAUGCGUUCCAUUAGGCAGUUGGCGGGGUAACGGCCCACC